GAUGGAAAGCACUUUGAAAAGAGGGUGAAAAGCACCUGAAACCGUCACGGGGGAAGCGGAUUGCGUGAGUGUGGUGUGGUGCCUGUUCAGCUACCCCUCGGGGUAGUGUAUUCAGCACUAGCCGUGCCGGUGUGGCUGCUUGGUUUCGGAGUGUGCGAAACCGGGUGGUGAGGGCUCCCCUUUUUAUUGGGUUGAGGACAUCGGCGAAAUGACGCGACCCGACCCGUCUUGAAACACGGACCAAGGAGUCUAGCACUACUGCGAGUCGAAGGGUUGCAAACCCAAUGGGCGAAGUGAAAGCGAAACAUAUAGGAAAUUUGAUACAGAUUGGGGAGGUGUGGCGACGUUGUCAAUAUAUCCUACCCUGAGCAGUUGUGCUGGGACCCGAAAGAUGGUGAACUAUGCCGGAAUAGGGCAAAGCCAGAGGAAACUCUGGUGGAGGCUCGUAGCGAUGCUGACGUGCAAAUCGCUCGUCGAAUUUGGGUAUAGGGGCGAAAGACUAAUCGAACCAUCUAGUAGCUGGUUCCCUCCGAAGUUUCUCUCAGGAUAGCGGGCCGACGAUGUGGGUUGUUUUGUGC
RNAcentral lists this ribosomal RNA (578 nucleotides) under Boreolithothamnion glaciale. Its description in RNAcentral is "eukaryotic LSU rRNA". It matches the Rfam family "Eukaryotic large subunit ribosomal RNA", at positions 363 to 1006 of the family's 3401-position model. Lineage: Eukaryota; Rhodophyta; Florideophyceae; Hapalidiales; Hapalidiaceae. The record is from RNAcentral.